GGCUCGUGAAGCGAUAAAGGUCCUUCGGUUCCUAAAAGAUAUUGUCCUCAAGGGAAGAUAAUGGCGGUGCUGAGGAGGAAGCCCCCGCCUAACUUCCUCCCGCAGCCGCGGUAAAUACGUAGGGGGCUAGCGUUAUCCGAAUUCUGGGCGUAAAGGGUGCGUAGGUGGUUUUUAAGUCAGAAGUGAAAGCCCCGGCUCAUCCGUGGGAAGCCUUUGAACUUGAGAACUUGAGUCCGGAGAGGAGAGUAGAAUCCUAGUGUAGCGGUGAAAUGCGUAGAUAUUAGGAGGAAUCCAGUAGCGAAGGCGGCUUUUUGGUCUGUAACUGGCACUGAGGCGCGCAAACGUGGGGAGCAAACAGGAUUAGAUUCCCUGGUAGUUCACCCCGUAAACGAUGAGUACUAGGUGUCGGGGGUUUUCCCCCUCGGUGCCCCAGCUAACCCCCUAUAAUACUCCGCCUGGGAAGUACGCUCGCAAGAGUGAAACUCAAAGGAAUUCACGGGGGGCCCCCCAAGUAGCGGAGCAUGUGGUGUUAUUUGAAACAACGCGAAGAACCCUUCCUAAGCUUGACAUCCCUCUGACCUCUCCUUAAUCGGAGAUUUCCCUUCGGGGACAGUGGUGACAGGUGGUGCAUGGUUGUCGUCAGCUCGUGUCGUGAGAUGUUGGGUUAAGUCCCGCAACGAGCGCAACCCUUACCUUUAGUUGCCAGCAUUAAGUUGGGCACUCUAGAGGGACUCCCGAGGAUAACUCGGAGGAAGGUGGGGAUGACGUCAAAUCAUCAUGCCCCUUAUGCUUAGGGCUACACACGUGCUACAAUGGGUGGUACAGAGGGUUGCCAAGCCGCGAGGUGGAGCUAAUCCCUUAAAACCAUUCUCAGUUCGGAUUGUAGGCUGAAACUCGCCUACAUGAAGCUGGAGUUACUAGUAAUCGCAGAUCAGAAUGCUGCGGUGAAUGCGUUCCCGGGUCUUGUACACACCCCCCAUCACGCCAUGGAAGUUGGGGGCGCCCGAAACCGGUUAGCUAACCUUUAGGAAGCGAGCCCGUCCUUAA
RNAcentral lists this ribosomal RNA (1047 nucleotides) under Clostridium sp. RNAcentral's name for it is "bacterial SSU rRNA". It matches the Rfam family "Bacterial small subunit ribosomal RNA", at positions 396 to 1460 of the family's 1533-position model. The record is from RNAcentral. Lineage: Bacteria; Bacillati; Bacillota; Clostridia; Eubacteriales; Clostridiaceae.